Molecule: ribosomal RNA, 477 nt
Filed under: Geminosyllis ohma
Lineage: Eukaryota; Metazoa; Annelida; Polychaeta; Phyllodocida; Syllidae
Description: partial 16S ribosomal RNA
Rfam family: Bacterial large subunit ribosomal RNA
Source: RNAcentral
UUGCCUUCAGAAAAUAUAUUUAAGGUAAAUCUGCCCAGUGAUAUAAUUCAACGGCCGCGGUAUCCUGACCGUGCGAAGGUAGCACAAUAAUGAGCCUCCUAAUUAGAGGAUAGAAUGAAUGAAUCAACAAAAGAAAAUCUGUCUCUUUAAUACCCAUGGAAAUUUAUCUUUGGGUGAAAAAGCCCAAAUCACCCAUAAAGACAAAAAGACCCUAAAAACUUCUUAUACUUUUCAUAAUCUCUAUAAUAAUAUAUUUUGUUGGGGCGACAUAAAGAAAAAAACAUUUUUACUAAAUACCAGAGUAUAUAACUCAAACAUAAAGAGCCAAUCGCACAUAAUUAAGCUACUUUAGGGGUAACAGGCUAAUAUUUCUUAAGAGUUCACAUCGACAGAAAUGUUUGGCACCUCGAUGUUGGCUUAGGGAGUCCCUUCCACGCAGAAGUAGAAGAUGAUGGUUUGUUCAACCAUUAAACCCCU